UACGGAGGGUGCAAGCGUUAUCCGGAUUCACUGGGUUUAAAGGGUGCGUAGGUGGGCAGGUAAGUCAGUGGUGAAAUCUCCGGGCUUAACCCGGAAACUGCCGUUGAUACUAUCUGUCUUGAAUAUCGUGGAGAUGAGCGGAAUAUGUCAUGUAGCGGUGAAAUGCUUAGAUAUGACAUAGAACACCGAUUGCGAAGGCAGCUCACUAAGCCAUAACUGACGCUGAUGCACGAAAGCGUGGGGAUCAAACAGG
Molecule: ribosomal RNA, 253 nt
Filed under: uncultured bacterium
Lineage: Bacteria
Description: partial 16S ribosomal RNA
Rfam family: Bacterial small subunit ribosomal RNA
Source: RNAcentral